This 1007-nucleotide ribosomal RNA is filed under the name Heth konoplevi. Its description in RNAcentral is "eukaryotic LSU rRNA". It matches the Rfam family "Eukaryotic large subunit ribosomal RNA", at positions 107 to 924 of the family's 3401-position model. Lineage: Eukaryota; Metazoa; Nematoda; Chromadorea; Rhabditida; Hethidae. The record is from RNAcentral.
GCCCAGCGCUGAAUCCACUAGCAUUUCGCUAGCUGGAGUUGUAGCGUAUAGGUGCGGGUGCUCCGUGACUUCGCGCGCCCAAAGUUCCCUUGAGCGGGGCUACAGUCCGUAGAAGGUGCUAGACCUGUACGGGCGGCGGGGUUGCGGAUUGCUCGUUCCUCGGAGUCGGGUUGCCUGAGAUCGCAGCCCAAAGUGGGUGGUAAACCUCAUCUAAGGCUAAAUACGGCCACGAGACCGAUAGCAAACAAGUACCGUGAGGGAAAGUUGCAAAGAACUUUGAAGAGAGAGUUCAAGAGGGCGUGAAACCGCUGAGAAGGAAACGGAUAGAGUUGACGAAACUCGACGGCGUUCAUCCGGUCGGCCUAGCGGCGUCACGGCUUCGCGCCUCGAUGAGGGCGGAGACGAGGAGUGCUGCCGGGUGCGUGACUGGUGUAUUCGCCGUCGGUAUGCGCUGAGAGCUUGGGCGCGCGUGUGCUUGCGUACGCGUAGUGGACCACGUCCUCUGGGCGUGGAAACCUUCGCUUGCUAAGGCGUAUCGGUGCUCAGGUCUUCGAGUGUGUCUCGGCUAGUGUUGCGCAGCGGUUGCUGCUUGCUGGCACGGCUGUCGGGCGGUCGCGUGCGACUUGCCUAUGGCUGGCGUUAGCGGGUGGCGAUGCGGUUGCGUAGGGACGCAUUUCUCGGUGUAAACGUCGACCACCUAUCCGACCCGUCUUGAAACACGGACCAAGGAGUCUAGCAUAUGCGCGAGUCAUUGGGUGGUAAACCUAAAGGCACAAUGAAAGUAAAGGUCGCCUCGAUGCGGCUGAUAUGGGAUCCGUGCGGUCGCGACCGUACGGCGCACCAUAGCCCCGUCCUCGUCGCUUGCGAUAGGGCGGAGGAGGAGCGCAUACGCUGGGACCCGAAAGAUGGUGAACUAUGCCUGAGCAGGAUGAAGCCAGAGGAAACUCUGGUGGAGGUCCGAAGCGGUUCUGACGUGCAAAUCGAUCGUCUGACUUGGGUAUAGGGGC